RNAcentral lists this ribosomal RNA (443 nucleotides) under uncultured bacterium. Its description in RNAcentral is "partial 16S ribosomal RNA". It matches the Rfam family "Bacterial small subunit ribosomal RNA", at positions 338 to 795 of the family's 1533-position model. The record is from RNAcentral.
CCUACGGGUGGCAGCAGUGGGGAAUAUUGGACAAUGGGGGGAACCCUGAUCCAGCGACGCCGCGUGAGUGAAGAAGUAUUUCGGUAUGUAAAGCUCUAUCAGCCGGGAAGAAAGAAAUGACGGUACAUGACUAAGACGCCCCGGCUAACUACGUGCCAGCAGCCGCGGUAAUACGGAGGGGCCAAGGGUAAUCCGGAUUAACGGGGGGUAAAGGGAGCGUAGACGGCGAUGCAAGUCUGAAUUGAAAGGCGGGGGCCCAACCCCCGGACUGCUUUGGAAACUGUAUGGCUGGAGUGCAGGAGAGGUAAGUGGAAUUCCUAGUGUAGCGGUGAAAUGCGUAGAUAUUAGGAGGAACACCAGUGGCGAAGGCGGCUUACUGGACUGUAACUGACGUUGAGGCUCGAAAGCGUGGGGAGCAAACAGGAUUAGAUACCCCGGUAGUC